Molecule: unclassified non-coding RNA, 1215 nt
Filed under: Hevea brasiliensis (rubber tree)
Lineage: Eukaryota; Viridiplantae; Streptophyta; Magnoliopsida; Malpighiales; Euphorbiaceae
Source: RNAcentral
AGCAUCAAGACCCACCAUCAGAAUACGCAUCUCUUUCUUAGCAAACAGUCGGCUGAACAACUUAGUGAAAGACAACCCCAUCCUUACAGGUCUGGUGAUUCAAACAAUUAACAAAAUCAAAUCAUUAAUGGUCUACGUCAUGUCACUCCAACAAAGACAAGAUUCCCAGGGAAAACAAAAUGUAAUUAAGAACACACAGAGCGUCAGCCAUAUGCUUUUAGUUAAUAAAUUAGAUUAAGAUGAAUAUUCAAGAGAAUUGUAGAUUCCGAAUUGCACAUCCUACACCGUUGUAGAAGGGAAUUUGAUAAGAGAAUGAAAGAUGUUAUAUCAGCAAACAGAAUGCCACUCUUGAGUUAAAAAUGAACUUGAUUAUAUACACAUUAUAAUUAUUCCCCAAAGAAAAUUAAUAAUAUCGUUUAGACUACGAUUCAAAAUUGUAUAAACAAAAGGAUUCACACCACUAAUGAAUCGGAAGCAUCCUAUUUGCAAUCAAGGGAGUGCAAAAAAAAGGCUACAAAGAGGAGUCAAUUUAAUUUUUUAGAAUGACGGCUUAAAACUCGCAUUAGGCUUCAAUAACAGGUAGAUCAAGCAUCCAACCGCAUAUAAUACAUCUAUAGACGUUCAAAUCUAAGGUAUCAUCAAAUGAUUUCGAUCAUGCAAACAAAUGAUUAAGCAAGGAAAACAGAGAUCCACAGGGUAACAAUCAAAACUCAAAACAAUUAUCAAGAUCAAGACAUCAGAAAACAGAAUCCCGCUCGAAAUCUUAAGAUCACAAAAAUUAACAAAUUGAAUUAAGAAAAAAGCAAGCCAGAAUUCCACGUACAGAGAAGGAGAUCAGAUCGAAACAGAAAUGGAAUCAGAGAUUGGAAAAAAAAAAUAGUGAAGAAAAAGAGAGGAAUUGAGAUCGUGAAGGAGAAAUCACUUGCCUGAGAGAAGAGCCAAGAGCAAAUAAGAGAUCUACCUCCUCACAAAAUGAGGAAAAUUAAAAUGAAGAGUUGUCCUCCACAGCAAUUUUAACUCGGUAUCAGAAAGAGCGUGUGUUUAUAUAGGGGAACAGAUGGCUGGAUUUGGUGUUUAACUGUAAAACGCGCCGUUAAAGCGUGUUUCUUAGGCUUUCUGUACUCUUGGUUGGUUACGUUACGCCGUUAUGACGAUACUUUGGGCGUUUGGCUGGCAUCGGGAGGACGCAGAGAUCGUAGUCUGUUUGGGGAAAAG